Long non-coding RNA from Poeciliopsis prolifica (blackstripe livebearer), 1153 nucleotides. RefSeq lists it as uncharacterized. The record is from RefSeq and is a predicted model, not a curated record. The transcript is spliced from 3 exons. NCBI's taxonomy places the organism in Eukaryota, Metazoa, Chordata, Actinopteri, Cyprinodontiformes, Poeciliidae.
CAUUGGCUGAGCUUGCUGUGAGGCUGGUACUUUUGAAGAGGGGAACCAUUAUUCCUGUCCACAGUGGUAAGUAACUUGCAAGUCUUAUAAUGUGUGGAACAAUCUCAGGGAGGAAAUGGAUGUUAUCCCUAUCCCCAUUAGAUGCAGCGUGUGUCCUGCUCUCCUCACAAAUGUUUGACACCCAGUCUCGUAGGUCAGUCUGGAAGUCAUCACAUGGAUCGACUUGAUGCACUUCCUGUGCAUCUUCUUCUGGAAUGAUGAUGGAGUCUUCUGCAAUCUGUGCUUUCAGGCAGUCCCACUGGCAUACCAUCUUUAUGCAGUGGGCAACAUCAACCCUGAUGUAACAGGGAGGAAGUUUUGCAGACUGGUUCCCACGUAGCACACGGAAGCAUUCAUCAAUGUAUGACUUCAGGUCAGAAAGAGGAGUGAAGGCCUUCACCAGAGCACCUAGAAUAGCCAGGGAAAAGUCACUCACAGCUUCUUUUGGUACAGCUGCACCUGAACGAAGCCAGUCUGUCAGCCAUGUUGCAAUUGCAUUAAUGUCAUGUCUUUCUGAUAGCAUUUGUACCACUGGGACUGAGCAGUUGUCUCCCUUCAGAACACCUUGAUAUAAGAAGAUGUGGCCAGAUUUACCAUUUGGUCGUGUGAGUUUUCUGACGACUGAACCAGUUGCAUCAAAGCAAACUACUGAGGGACAUUUUUUGGUUGCAAGGUUUGGAAGGUGGCUUGGUUCGGGAUCUCCAAAAGCCAUCAACUCUGAUGCCUUUGCUGACCUCCAUACAGCUGGCUCCAUCCUACCCUCACACAGCUCUUUUGAAAUUUGUGCACGAAGGGUUCCUGACAUGAAUCUUUUGGACUGGCCAGUGUGCAGGGAGAUGUCAGCACCUUCGAUGGAACACUGGAGCACCAUUGGGCUGUUGACCGCUGGCUUGCUGUCGCAUGUCAUUGUAACAUGGCCUUGACAGUCUUUACAGAAGCCUUUGAUGUCGAUGUACUUAUUAGUGACCGUUGGAUAAACUUUUGCUCUUUGGAAUACAAAAGUACAACCGUGUUUUAAUUUUUUCCACACCAGAUCAUUAAUGAUAUGAGUCCAAGUGCCAGGUUUUAAAAUUGUGUAGCUUCUUUUGCCAGAUGAUGAAAACUGGUCGUUGUA